UAAAGGCAGAAAUGUGGAAAUGUUGAGAAAAUUCUUGUCUGCAUCACAGACACACAUACUCAUGAUUGCCAAUAAUAUCUGUGGUCCUUAGCUAUAACGUACUCAACUUGAGGGUGGUGGAAGAUCUCCAUGAAUACUGAAGUUUGAAUUUUAGCUCCAGAACUUAUUUGCUGUGUGUGAACUUGGGUAAGUUUCUCUAUUUCUUUUAACCUCGAUUUCCACAUCUAUUAAGAAAUUACAAAUCACAUACAAAGAUUAUAAAAACAAAAUGAGACAGUGCAUAUAAGCACAGCAUUGCAUUUUAGAAAUGUAUUCUAAAAAUAGCACCUACCAGAUAUUAUAUUAGUUUGUACCCAGGAUACUUUUGAUUGCAAGUACAUAUUUUGUCCCUGUAGCUUGACCUUUGUAAGGGCAUGAAUUUUUGUAUUA
RNAcentral lists this long non-coding RNA (429 nucleotides) under Macaca mulatta (Rhesus monkey). RNAcentral's name for it is "lncRNA (ENSMMUG00000062933.1)". Lineage: Eukaryota; Metazoa; Chordata; Mammalia; Primates; Cercopithecidae. The record is from RNAcentral.